Molecule: ribosomal RNA, 451 nt
Filed under: uncultured bacterium
Lineage: Bacteria
Description: bacterial SSU rRNA
Rfam family: Bacterial small subunit ribosomal RNA
Source: RNAcentral
GUGGGGAAUAUUGGACAAUGGGGGGAACCCUGAUCCAGCCAUGCCGCGUGUGUGAAGAAGGCCUUUUGGUUGUAAAGCACUUUAAGCGAGGAGGAGGCUACCGAGAUUAAUACUCUUGGAUAGUGGACGUUACUCGCAGAAUAAGCACCGGCUAACUCUGUGCCAGCAGCCGCGGUAAUACAGAGGGUGCAAGCGUUAAUCGGAUUUACUGGGCGUAAAGCGCGCGUAGGUGGCCAAUUAAGUCAAAUGUGAAAUCCCCGAGCUUAACUUGGGAAUUGCAUUAGAUACUGGUUGGCUAGAGUAUGGGAGAGGAUGGUAGAAUUCCAGGUGUAGCGGUGAAAUGCGUAGAGAUCUGGAGGAAUACCGAUGGCGAAGGCAGCCAUCUGGCCUAAUACUGACACUGAGGUGCGAAAGCAUGGGGAGCAAACAGGAUUAGAAACCCCUGUAGUCC